This 468-nucleotide ribosomal RNA is filed under the name uncultured bacterium. Its description in RNAcentral is "partial 16S ribosomal RNA". It matches the Rfam family "Bacterial small subunit ribosomal RNA", at positions 28 to 507 of the family's 1533-position model. The record is from RNAcentral.
GACGAACGCUGGCGGCGUGCUUAAUACAUGCAAGUCGAACGGAAAGGCCCUGCUUUUGUGGGGUGCUCGAGUGGCGAACGGGUGAGUAACACGUGAGUAACCUGCCCUUGACUUUGGUAUAACUUCAGGAAACUGGGGCUAAUACCGGAUAGGAGCUCCUGCGGCAUGGUGGGGGUUGGAAAGUUUCGGCGGUUGGGGAUGGACUCGCGGCUUAUCAGCUUGUUGGUGGGGUAGUGGCUUACCAAGGCUUUGACGGGUAGCCGGCCUGAGAGGGUGACCGGCCACAUUGGGACUGAGAUACGGCCCAGACUCCUACGGGAGGCAGCAGUGGGGAAUAUUGCACAAUGGGCGGAAGCCUGAUGCAGCAACGCCGCGUGCGGGAUGACGGCCUUCGGGUUGUAAACCGCUUUCGCCUGUGACGAAGCGUGAGUGACGGUAAUGGGUAAAGAAGCACCGGCUAACUACGUG